This 429-nucleotide ribosomal RNA is filed under the name Bacteroidota bacterium. RNAcentral's name for it is "Bacteroidetes bacterium partial 16S ribosomal RNA". It matches the Rfam family "Bacterial small subunit ribosomal RNA", at positions 355 to 776 of the family's 1533-position model. Lineage: Bacteria; Pseudomonadati; Bacteroidota. The record is from RNAcentral.
UAGGGAAUCUUCCGCAAUGGACGCAAGUCUGACGGAGCAACGCCGCGUGAGUGAAGAAGGAUUUCGGUUCGUAAAACUCUGUUGUUAGAGAAGAACAGCGCAUAGAGUAACUGUUAUGCGUGUGACGGUAUCUAACCAGAAAGCCACGGCUAACUACGUGCCAGCAGCCGCGGUAAUACGUAGGUGGCAAGCGUUGUCCGGAUUUAUUGGGCGUAAAGCGAGCGCAGGCGGUCAAUUAAGUCUGAUGUGAAAGCCCCCGGCUCAACCGGGGAGGGUCAUUGGAAACUGGUUGACUUGAGCGCAGAAGAGGAGAGUGGAAUUCCAUGUGGAGCGGUGAAAUGCGUAGAUAUAUGGAGGAACACCAGUGGCGAAGGCGACUCUCUGGUCUGUAACUGACGCUGAGGCUCGAAAGCGUGGGUAGCAAACAGG